Molecule: ribosomal RNA, 274 nt
Filed under: uncultured bacterium
Lineage: Bacteria
Description: partial 16S ribosomal RNA
Rfam family: Bacterial small subunit ribosomal RNA
Source: RNAcentral
CUACGAAGGGGGCUAGCGUUGUUCGGAUUUACUGGGCGUAAAGCGCACGUAGGCGGAUUGAUUAGUUAGGGGUGAAAUCCCGAGGCUCAACCUCGGAACUGCCUUUAAUACUGUCAAUCUCGAGACCGGAAGAGGUGAGUGGAACUCCUAGUGUAGAGGUGGAAUUCGUAGAUAUUAGGAAGAACACCAGUGGCGAAGGCGGCUCACUGGUCCGGUACUGACGCUGAGGCGCGAAAGCGUGGGGAGCAAACAGGAUUAGAAACCCUUGUAGUCC